AGAGUUGUAUCCUGGCUCAGGAUGAACGCUAGCGGCAGGCCUAACACAUGCAAGUCGAGGGGUAACAGGAAAGCUUGCUUUUGCUGACGACCGGCGCACGGGUGCGUAACGCGUAUGCAACCUACCUCAUACUGGAGCAUAGCCCUUGGAAACGGGGAUUAAUACUCCAUGGUAUCAUGAAUUCGCAUGUUUUCAUGAUUAAAGAAUUUCGGUAUGAGAUGGGCAUGCGUCCCAUUAGCUAGUUGGUGAGGUAACGGCUCACCAAGGCGACGAUGGGUAGGGGGCCUGAGAGGGUGGUCCCCCACACUGGUACUGAGACACGGACCAGACUCCUACGGGAGGCAGCAGUGAGGAAUAUUGGUCAAUGGAGGCAACUCUGAACCAGCCAUGCCGCGUGAAGGAUGACGGCCCUAUGGGUUGUAAACUUCUUUUAUAUGGGAAGAAACUUAUCUACGUGUAGAUAACUGACGGUACCAUACGAAUAAGGAUCGGCUAACUCCGUGCCAGCAGCCGCGGUAAUACGGAGGAUCCAAGCGUUAUCCGGAUUCAUUGGGUUUAAAGGGUCCGUAGGCGGAUUUUUAAGUCAGUGGUGAAAGCCGACAGCUCAACUGUCGAACUGCCAUUGAUACUGGAGAUCUUGAGUACAAAUGAAGUAGGCGGAAUGAGUCAUGUAGCGGUGAAAUGCAUAGAUAUGACUCAGAACACCAAUUGCGAAGGCAGCUUACUAACAUGUAACUGACGCUGAGGGA
Molecule: ribosomal RNA, 749 nt
Filed under: uncultured Bacteroidota bacterium
Lineage: Bacteria; Pseudomonadati; Bacteroidota
Description: bacterial SSU rRNA
Rfam family: Bacterial small subunit ribosomal RNA
Source: RNAcentral